AUACGGAGGAUCCGAGCGUUAUCCGGAUUUAUUGGGUUUAAAGGGUGCGUAGGUGGUUUGAUAAGUCAGCGGUGAAAGUUUGCAGCUUAACUGUAAAAAUGCCGUUGAAACUGUCGGACUUGAGUGUAAAUGAGGUAGGCGGAAUGCGUGGUGUAGCGGUGAAAUGCAUAGAUAUCACGCAGAACUCCAAUUGCGAAGGCAGCUCACUGGGGUACAACUGACACUGAGGCUCGAAAGUGUGGGUAUCAAACAGGAUUAGAUACCCUGGUAGUCCACACAGUAAACGAUGAAUACUCGCUGUUUGCGAUAUACAGUAAGCGGCCAAGCGAAAGCAUUAAGUAUUCCACCUGGGGAGUACGCCGGCAACGGUGAA
RNAcentral lists this ribosomal RNA (373 nucleotides) under uncultured bacterium. RNAcentral's name for it is "bacterial SSU rRNA". It matches the Rfam family "Bacterial small subunit ribosomal RNA", at positions 523 to 898 of the family's 1533-position model. The record is from RNAcentral.